This 117-nucleotide ribosomal RNA is filed under the name uncultured soil bacterium. RNAcentral's name for it is "partial 16S ribosomal RNA". It matches the Rfam family "Bacterial small subunit ribosomal RNA", at positions 26 to 143 of the family's 1533-position model. The record is from RNAcentral.
AGAUUGAACGCUGGCGGCAUGCUUUACACAUGCAAGUCGAACGGUAACAGGCCGCAAGGUGCUGACGAGUGGCGAACGGGUGAGUAAUGCAUCGGAACGUGCCCGAGUCGUGGGGGA